GCGAAGAUGGCCGCACGGUUUUCGUAACAAAAUAAAUGGUGCUCGGUCACCAUUUUGACCAUGUCGAGCCUAUCACGAAGAUGGCAGCACGGUUUACGUAAUAAAAUAUCCGGUUCGAUCAAUCAUUUUGACCAUGUCGAGCCUAUCACGAAGAUGGCCGCGCGGUUUGAAGAUUAGCGAUGCAUACGUAGGGCGUAAGUGAUGAUUUAAUGUCAAAUUUGAUCGGUUUGAAACCUAUCACGAAGAUGGUCGGGUUGAUCAAAUUGACAAAAAAGCGCACUUACGCUAUCUGUAUGCAUGCAUAUCUCCUAUUGUCGUAGAAGUCGUCAACAUCGUCGUUGCUGUCGUCGUCGCGCCGUUGUCGAAAUCGUCGCGCCGUCGUCGUUCUCUUUUUCUCUUUUUUU
RNAcentral lists this long non-coding RNA (404 nucleotides) under Ananas comosus (pineapple). RNAcentral's name for it is "long non-coding RNA (ACOM_LNC000711)". The record is from RNAcentral. Lineage: Eukaryota; Viridiplantae; Streptophyta; Magnoliopsida; Poales; Bromeliaceae.